UCCGAGUUGACCCCGGCAGUCUCCCAUGAGUCCCCACCAUAACGUGCUGGCAACAUAGGACGAGGGUUGCGCUCGUUGCGGGACUUAACCCAACAUCUCACGACACGAGCUGACGACAGCCAUGCAGCACCUGUGUCCGAGUUCCCUUUCGGGCACACCCACAUCUCUGCGGGCUCUCGGACAUGUCAAGGGUAGGUAAGGUUUUUCGCGUUGCAUCGAAUUAAUCCACAUAAUCCACCGCUUGUGCGGGUCCCCGUCAAUUCCUUUGAGUUUUAGCCUUGCGGCCGUACUCCCCAGGCGGGAUGCUUAAUGCGUUAGCUUCGGCACGGACGGAGUCGACACCGCCCACACCUAGCAUCCAUCGUUUACGGCGUGGACUAC
This 381-nucleotide unclassified non-coding RNA is filed under the name uncultured bacterium. RNAcentral describes it as "contains 16S-23S intergenic spacer region". The record is from RNAcentral.